GUGAAACUGAUAAUUUUACGAUGAAUAGAAGGUUAUAGAUGUAGUGACUAAUUUAAUCUUCCAUUUAUGAUAAGUAUAAUACUCACA
RNAcentral lists this microRNA precursor (87 nucleotides) under Oryza sativa (Asian cultivated rice). RNAcentral describes it as "miR2095 stem-loop (osa-MIR2095)". Lineage: Eukaryota; Viridiplantae; Streptophyta; Magnoliopsida; Poales; Poaceae. The record is from miRBase by way of RNAcentral.